RNAcentral lists this ribosomal RNA (301 nucleotides) under uncultured bacterium. RNAcentral's name for it is "partial 16S ribosomal RNA". It matches the Rfam family "Bacterial small subunit ribosomal RNA", at positions 509 to 809 of the family's 1533-position model. The record is from RNAcentral.
CAGCCGCCGCGGGAAUACGGAGGGUGCAAGCGUUAAUCGGAAUUACUGGGCGUAAAGCGCACGCAGGCGGUCUGUCAAGUCGGAUGUGAAAUCCCCGGGCUCAACCUGGGAACUGCAUUCGAAACUGGCAGGCUAGAGUCUUGUAGAGGGGGGUAGAAUUCCAGGUGUAGCGGUGAAAUGCGUAGAGAUCUGGAGGAAUACCGGUGGCGAAGGCGGCCCCCUGGACAAAGACUGACGCUCAGGUGCGAAAGCGUGGGGAGCAAACAGGAUUAGAUACCCCUGUAGUCCCUGUCUCUUAUAA